AUGAAACGAAACAAAACGAGAAAACAAGGAUUAAGGCUCACCUGCCAGAGUCGCUCCGGCAACUCUUCUGCUGUGAUAACGACGAGAAGACCAAAUAUAUAUAUUCAGAAGAAUGGAGAGAGAAUCGUGAAAGGAGGAUCCAUCUUAGCCUUUGGUUGUGAGAGAGUAAGUAAAAAAAUUGGAAAAGUUGGAAAUGGUUAUAAUGUUGGAAACUGUUAUGGACAGUUAGUAUGGUCAUGGGCAAUGCGAAUCUGGGCAACAUGUUUUGUUUUAGCAGCAACUUUGGAUUUUUUGGAUAUUGAUGGAACAAUAGUUAAAGGAAUGUCCUCAUGA
Vicia faba (fava bean) is the source of this 333-nucleotide non-coding RNA. Lineage: Eukaryota; Viridiplantae; Streptophyta; Magnoliopsida; Fabales; Fabaceae. The record is from the annotation of a GenBank genome assembly.